UACAGAGGUGGCAAGCGUUGUUCGGAAUUACUGGGCGUAAAGGGCGCGUAGGCGGCCUUCUAAGUCAGACGUGAAAUCCCCCGGCUUAACCGGGAGGGUGGCAUUGAUACUGCAGGACUUGAGUAAAGUUGAGGUAGGCGGAAUUGACGGUGUAGCGGUGAAAUGCUUAGAUAUCGUCAAGAACACCGAUAGUGAAGACAGCUUACUAAACUUUAACUGACGCUGAGGCACGAAAGUGUGGGGAUCAAACAGG
RNAcentral lists this ribosomal RNA (253 nucleotides) under uncultured bacterium. Its description in RNAcentral is "partial 16S ribosomal RNA". It matches the Rfam family "Bacterial small subunit ribosomal RNA", at positions 524 to 776 of the family's 1533-position model. The record is from RNAcentral.